Molecule: ribosomal RNA, 466 nt
Filed under: uncultured bacterium
Lineage: Bacteria
Description: bacterial SSU rRNA
Rfam family: Bacterial small subunit ribosomal RNA
Source: RNAcentral
CAGCAGUGAGGAAUAUUGGUCAAUGGGCGUAAGCCUGAACCAGCCAAGUCGCGUGAGGGAUGAAGGUUCUAUGGAUCGUAAACCUCUUUUAUAAGGGAAUAAAGUGUGGGACGUGUCCUAUUUUGUAUGUACCUUAUGAAUAAGGAUCGGCUAACUCCGUGCCAGCAGCCGCGGUAAUACGGAGGAUCCGAGCGUUAUCCGGAUUUAUUGGGUUUAAAGGGUGCGUAGGCGGCCUUUUAAGUCAGCGGUGAAAGUCUGUGGCUCAACCAUAGAAUUGCCGUUGAAACUGGGGGGCUUGAGUAUGUUUGAGGCAGGCGGAAUGCGUGGUGUAGCGGUGAAAUGCUUAGAUAUCACGCAGAACCCCGAUUGCGAAGGCAGCCUGCCAAGCCAUGACUGACGCUGAUGCACGAAAGCGUGGGGAUCAAACAGGAUUAGAUACCCUGGUAGUCCACGCAGUAAACGAUGA